AACGAGAAAUUCCGGGCUUGCUCGGGAGAGUAAAGUGGCGAACGGGUGAGUAACGCGUGGGUAACCUGCCCCUGAAUCUGGAAUAACUUCGCGAAAGCGAGGCUAAUACCGGAUAUUGUCCCAGGGACCUCGGUUCUUGUGAUGAAAGAUGACCUCUUCACGAAAGUUGUCGUUCAGGGAGGGGCCCGCGUACCAUUAGCUAGUUGGUAGGGUAAUGGCCUACCAAGGCGAUGAUGGUUAGCUGGUCUGAGAGGAUGACCAGCCACACUGGCACUGAAACACGGGCCAGACUCCUACGGGAGGCAGCAGUGAGGAAUUUUGCGCAAUAGGGGAAACCCUGACGCAGCAACGCCGCGUGAGUGAAGAAGGCCCUCGGGUCGUAAAGCUCUGUCAAGUGGGAAAAAAGCUUACUGGUAAAUAGCCAGCAAGACUGAUGGUACCAUUGAAGGAAGCACCAGCUAACUCCGUGCCAGCAGCCGCGGUAAUACGGAGGGUGCAAGCGUUGUUCGGAAUUACUGGGCGUAAAGGGCGUGUAGGCGGUGUGGUAAGUCA
RNAcentral lists this ribosomal RNA (552 nucleotides) under uncultured bacterium. RNAcentral describes it as "bacterial SSU rRNA". It matches the Rfam family "Bacterial small subunit ribosomal RNA", at positions 65 to 590 of the family's 1533-position model. The record is from RNAcentral.